GAUGAACGCUGGCGGCGUGCCUAAUACAUGCAAGUCGAGCGAACAGACGAGGAGCUUGCUCCUCUGACGUUAGCGGCGGACGGGUGAGUAACACGUGGAUAACCUACCUAUAAGACUGGGAUAACUUCGGGAAACCGGAGCUAAUACCGGAUAACAUGUUGAACCGCAUGGUUCAACAGUGAAAGACGGUCUUGCUGUCACUUAUAGAUGGAUCCGCGCCGCAUUAGCUAGUUGGUAAGGUAACGGCUUACCAAGGCAACGAUGCGUAGCCGACCUGAGAGGGUGAUAGGCCACACGGGAACUGAGACACGGUCCAGACUCCUACGGGAGGCAGCAGUAGGGAAUCGUCCGCAAUGGGCGAAAGCCUGACGGAGCAACGCCGCGUGAGUGAAGAAGGUCUUCGGAUCGUAAAACUCUGUUAUUAGGGAAGAACAAAUGUGUAAGUAACUAUGCACGUCUUGACGGUACCUAAUCAGAAAGCCACGGCUAACUACGUG
Molecule: ribosomal RNA, 497 nt
Filed under: uncultured bacterium
Lineage: Bacteria
Description: partial 16S ribosomal RNA
Rfam family: Bacterial small subunit ribosomal RNA
Source: RNAcentral